GCGCUCGUAGCUCAGCUGGAUAGAGUACCUGGCUACGAACCAGGCGGUCAGAGGUUCGAAUCCUCUCGAGCGCGACA
This 77-nucleotide transfer RNA is filed under the name Vibrio cholerae. Its description in RNAcentral is "tRNA-Arg". It matches the Rfam family "tRNA". From Rfam's summary of the family: Transfer RNA (tRNA) molecules are approximately 80 nucleotides in length. Their secondary structure includes four short double-helical elements and three loops (D, anti-codon, and T loops). The record is from RNAcentral. Lineage: Bacteria; Pseudomonadati; Pseudomonadota; Gammaproteobacteria; Vibrionales; Vibrionaceae.